UACGUAGGGUGCAAGCGUUGUCCGGAAUUAUUGGGCGUAAAGAGCUCGUAGGCGGUCUGUCGCGUCUGCUGGGAAAACUCGGGGCUUAACCCCGGGCCUGCAGUGGGUACGGGCAGACUAGAGUGCGGUAGGGGAGACUGGAAUUCCUGGUGUAGCGGUGAAAUGCGCAGAUAUCAGGAGGAACACCGGUGGCGAAGGCGGGUCUCUGGGCCGUAACUGACGCUGAGGCGCGAAAGCGUGGGGAGCGAACAGG
This 253-nucleotide ribosomal RNA is filed under the name uncultured bacterium. Its description in RNAcentral is "partial 16S ribosomal RNA". It matches the Rfam family "Bacterial small subunit ribosomal RNA", at positions 524 to 776 of the family's 1533-position model. The record is from RNAcentral.